Molecule: ribosomal RNA, 707 nt
Filed under: Pseudomonadota bacterium
Lineage: Bacteria; Pseudomonadati; Pseudomonadota
Description: bacterial SSU rRNA
Rfam family: Bacterial small subunit ribosomal RNA
Source: RNAcentral
AUUGAACGCUGGCGGAAUGCUUUACACAUGCAAGUCGAACGGUAGAGGGGGCAACCCCUUGAGAGUGGCGAACGGGUGAGUAAUAUAUCGGAACGUGCCCAGUCGUGGGGGAUAACGUAGUGAAAAUUACGCUAAUACCGCAUACGAUCUAAGGAUGAAAGCGGGGGAUCGCAAGACCUCGCGCGACUGGAGCGGCCGAUAUCAGAUUAGGUAGUUGGUAGGGUAAAGGCCUACCAAGCCAACGAUCUGUAGCUGGUCUGAGAGGACGACCAGCCACACUGGAACUGAGACACGGUCCAGACUCCUACGGGAGGCAGCAGUGGGGAAUUUUGGACAAUGGGCGAAAGCCUGAUCCAGCCAUUCCGCGUGCAGGAUGAAGGCCCUCGGGUUGUAAACUGCUUUUGUACAGAACGAAAAGGUCUCUAUUAAUACUAGGGGCUCAUGACGGUACUGUAAGAAUAAGCACCGGCUAACUACGUGCCAGCAGCCGCGGUAAUACGUAGGGUGCAAGCGUUAAUCGGAAUUACUGGGCGUAAAGCGUGCGCAGGCGGUUAUAUAAGUCAGAUGUGAAAUCCCCGGGCUCAACCUGGGAACUGCAUUUGAGACUGUAUAGCUAGAGUACGGUAGAGGGGGAUGGAAUUCCGCGUGUAGCAGUGAAAUGCGUAGAUAUGCGGAGGAACACCGAUGGCGAAGGCAAUCCCCUGGAC